Molecule: unclassified non-coding RNA, 648 nt
Filed under: Hevea brasiliensis (rubber tree)
Lineage: Eukaryota; Viridiplantae; Streptophyta; Magnoliopsida; Malpighiales; Euphorbiaceae
Source: RNAcentral
ACCAUGAAUAACCCUGGCCGCCCAAAGACUGCUUCUGAUUCCGUCUUCGAUUUCACGAAUGACGAUUCCUUCCCGGCCAAUGCCGACGAGGACAUGUCCUUCCGUUUGGUUGAUGGAAAGCCUCCUCCGCGCCCCAAAUUUGGCCCUAAAUGGCGUUUCAACCAACAAAGGACGCAGCUACCUCAGCGCCGUGACGAAGAAGUUGAAGCUCGAAAGCGCGAGGCCGAGAAGGAGCGGGCUCGCCGUGACCGCCUUUACAACCUCAACAGGUCUAAUGUCAAUGCCCCCCGUCGUGAAGCUGCUGUUUUCAAAUCCUCUGUCGAAAUUCAACCCGAAUGGAACAUGCUUGAUCAGAUUCCCUUCUCCACUUUCUCCAAGCUAUCCUUCUCUGUUCCUGAGCCCGAAGACCUUCUUCUGUGCGGCGGGCUAGAGUUCUAUGAUCGAGCAUACGACCGAAUCACUCCCAAGAACGAGCGCCGCCUUGAGCGCUUCAAGAACCGCAACUUCUUCAAGGUAACUACUACUGACGAUCCUGUCAUUCGUCGUCUAGCAAAUGAGGACAAAGCCACAGUUUUUGCUACCGAUGCCAUCCUUUCUACCCUUAUGUGUGCAACUAGAUCGGUUUACUCCUGGGAUAUUGUGGUUCAG